This 16-nucleotide small RNA is filed under the name Arabidopsis thaliana (thale cress). RNAcentral describes it as "ccmFC". The record is from RNAcentral. Lineage: Eukaryota; Viridiplantae; Streptophyta; Magnoliopsida; Brassicales; Brassicaceae.
GCAGGCCAGCCGGGCC